Molecule: ribosomal RNA, 725 nt
Filed under: uncultured bacterium
Lineage: Bacteria
Description: bacterial SSU rRNA
Rfam family: Bacterial small subunit ribosomal RNA
Source: RNAcentral
UCUGNUCUGUCACUGACGCUGAGGCUCGAAAGCGUGGGUAGCGAACAGGAUUAGAUACCCUGGUAGUNCACGCCGUAAACGCUGAGUGCUAGGUGUUAGGUCCUUUCCGGGACUUAGUGCCGACGCUAACGCAUUAAGCACUCCGCCUGGGGAGUACGACCGCAAGGUUGAAACUCAAAGGAAUUGACGGGGGCCCGCACAAGCGGUGGAGCAUGUGGUUUAAUUCGAAGCAACGCGAAGAACCUUACCAGGUCUUGACAUCCCGAUGCCCGCUCUAGAGAUAGAGUUUUUCUUCGGAACAUCGGAGACAGGUGGUGCAUGGUUGUCGUCAGCUCGUGUCGUGAGAUGUUGGGUUAAGUCCCGCAACGAGCGCAACCCUUAUUGUUAGUUGCCAUCAUUAAGUUGGGCACUCUAGCGAGACUGCCGGUAAUAAACCGGAGGAAGGUGGGGAUGACGUCAAAUCAUCAUGCCCCUUAUGACCUGGGCUACACACGUGCUACAAUGGUUGGUACAACGAGUCGCAAGCCGGUGACGGCAAGCUAAUCUCUGAAAGCCAAUCUCAGUUCGGAUUGUAGGCUGCAACUCGCCUACAUGAAGUCGGAAUCGCUAGUAAUCGCGGAUCAGCACGCCGCGGUGAAUACGUUCCCGGGCCUUGUACACACCGCCCGUCACACCACGAGAGUUUGUAACACCCAAAGUCGGUGAGGUAACCAUUUAUGGGNCCA